UGAGGAAUAUUGGUCAAUGGACGGAAGUCUGAACCAGCCAUGCCGCGUGAAGGAUGAAGGCGUUCUGCGUUGUAAACUUCUUUUAUCUGGGAAGAAACCACAGAUUUCUAUUUGUGUUGACGGUACCAGAAGAAUAAGCACCGGCUAACUCCGUGCCAGCAGCCGCGGUAAUACGGAGGACCCAAGCGUUGUCCGGAUUUACUGGGUGUAAAGGGUGCGCAGGCGGAUGGGUAAGUCAGGGGUGAAAGUCUGCAGCUUAACUGUAGAAUUGCCUUUGAUACUGCUCAUCUUGAGUGUGGGAGAGGUUGAUGGAAUUCCAGGUGUAGCAGUGAAAUGCGUAGAUAUCUGGAAGAACACCAGUGGCGAAGGCGGUCAACUGGCCCAUAACUGACGCUCAUGCACGAAAGCGUGGGGAGCAAACA
This 422-nucleotide ribosomal RNA is filed under the name uncultured bacterium. RNAcentral's name for it is "bacterial SSU rRNA". It matches the Rfam family "Bacterial small subunit ribosomal RNA", at positions 355 to 774 of the family's 1533-position model. The record is from RNAcentral.